UACUAAACAGCUAGCCUCC
RNAcentral lists this ribosomal RNA (19 nucleotides) under Quintana atrizona. RNAcentral's name for it is "partial 16S ribosomal RNA". The record is from RNAcentral. Lineage: Eukaryota; Metazoa; Chordata; Actinopteri; Cyprinodontiformes; Poeciliidae.